CUGGCCUAAAGUGAGAGUGGGUGCUUUGGGUUCUGUACAAAUAGUGGUAACGUGGUUGAAUCCUGCAGAAGUCAACCAUGGACAGACAUUUCUAACAUCAGGCUGUGUGUGAUUUCUUCCAGGAUCAGAAGAGAGAUCCCACGAAGGUUCCUUAAUGCUGCUUGGAGGCUGAUCUCUGCUCUCAUCCCUCCCUCCCAGUGCCAAAGUCAGUGGGCAGUGCUGGGGGCCACCUACUCUCCCUUCUGGUGCUCCAACUGGAUCACUAGCACCAGGUUUUUGAGGAAUAAAAGGUUGUGAUGAUCAGUGACACAGAAACAGCUACCUGAUGGUCCUGUUGUGUACACACCGGAGAUGUUGCCCUGGAGACCAUAUGGCAGCAAGGGCAGUGUUCCUGUUUUCAUCCAGAUGCUGGGAGUUGCUUGGAGAAGCCUGUCCAUCAGGGAGGUAAAUUGGGGGCUUC
Molecule: long non-coding RNA, 460 nt
Filed under: Parus major (Great Tit)
Lineage: Eukaryota; Metazoa; Chordata; Aves; Passeriformes; Paridae
Description: lncRNA (ENSPMJG00000019568.1)
Source: RNAcentral